This 337-nucleotide unclassified non-coding RNA is filed under the name soil metagenome. RNAcentral describes it as "partial contains 5.8S ribosomal RNA, internal transcribed spacer 2, and large subunit ribosomal RNA". The stretch from base 1 to 120 matches the Rfam family "5.8S ribosomal RNA", at positions 35 to 154 of the family's 154-position model. The record is from RNAcentral.
GAUGAAGAACGUAGCGAAAUGCGAUAAGUAAUGUGAAUUGCAGAAUUCAGUGAAUCAUCGAAUCUUUGAACGCACAUUGCGCCCGCCAGUAUUCUGGCGGGCAUGCCUGUUCGAGCGUCAUUUCAACCAUCAAGCCCCCGGGCUUGUGUUGGGGACCUGCGGCUGCCGCAGGCCCUGAAAAGCAGUGGCGGGCUCGCUGUCACACCGAGCGUAGUAGAUUUUAUCUCGCUCUGGGCGUGCUGCGGGUUCCGGCCGUUAAACCACCCUUUUAACCCAAGGUUGACCUCGGAGCAGGUAGGAAGACCCGCUGAACUUAAGCAUAUCAAUAAGCGGAGGA